AUACGUAGGUGACAAGCGUUAUCCGGAUUUACUGGGCGUAAAGGGCGUGUAGGCGGUCUUGCAAGUCAGAAGUGAAAUUCCUGAGCUCAACUCGGGCGCUGCUUCUGAAACUGCAGGACUUGAGUGCUGGAGGGGAUAGCGGAAUUCCUAGUGGAGCGGUAAAAUGCGCAGAUAUUAGGAAGAACACCGGUGGCGAAGGCGGCUAUCUGAACAGUAACUGAGGCAGAGGCGCAAAAGCGGGGGGAGCAAACAGGAUUAAAUCCCCUGUUAUUCCACGCCGUAACGAUGAAUACUAGGUGUAGGGGGUAUCGACUCCCUCUGUGCCGCAGUUAACACAAUAAGUAUUUCGCCUGGGGAGUACGGCCGCAAGGUUGAAACUCAAAUGAAUUGACGGGG
Molecule: ribosomal RNA, 396 nt
Filed under: uncultured bacterium
Lineage: Bacteria
Description: partial 16S ribosomal RNA
Rfam family: Bacterial small subunit ribosomal RNA
Source: RNAcentral